RNAcentral lists this ribosomal RNA (671 nucleotides) under uncultured bacterium. RNAcentral's name for it is "bacterial SSU rRNA". It matches the Rfam family "Bacterial small subunit ribosomal RNA", at positions 8 to 655 of the family's 1533-position model. The record is from RNAcentral.
AGAGUUUGAUCAUGGCUCAGAGCGAACGUUAGCGGCGGGCCUAACACAUGCAAGUCGAACGAGAAAAUCCCUUCGGGGGUGAGUAAAGUGGCGCACGGGUGAGGAACGCGUAGGUAAUCUACCCUCGGGCGGGGGACAACACUCCGAAAGGAAUGCUAAUACCGCGUAAGACCACACUCACUAAGGUGAGAGUGGUAAAAGGUGGCCUCUUCUUGAAAGCUACCACCAGAGGAUGAGCCUGCGUCCCAUCAGCUUGUUGGUAAGGUAAUGGCUUACCAAGGCGAAGACGGGUAGCUGGUCUGAGAGGAUGAUCAGCCACACUGGCACUGGAACACGGGCCAGACUCCUACGGGAGGCAGCAGUGAGGAAUAUUGGGCAAUGGGCGCAAGCCUGACCCAGCCACGCCGCGUGUGUGAUGAAGGCCUUCGGGUCGUAAAGCACUGUGGGGAGAGACGAAAAAUUUCCAUUCAAAUAGGGUGGAGACUUGACGGUACCUCCUUAGCAAGCACCGGCUAACUCUGUGCCAGCAGCCGCGGUAAUACAGAGGGUGCAAACGUUGCUCGGAUUUACUGGGCGUAAAGCGCGUGUAGGCGGACUCGCAAGUCGGUUGUGAAAUCCCUGGGCUCAACCUAGGAACUGCAUCCGAAACUGCUUGUCUUGAGUAAUGGAGA